RNAcentral lists this transfer RNA (75 nucleotides) under Bradyrhizobium ottawaense. RNAcentral describes it as "tRNA-Val". RNAcentral also lists the same sequence under 1 other name. The record is from RNAcentral. Lineage: Bacteria; Pseudomonadati; Pseudomonadota; Alphaproteobacteria; Hyphomicrobiales; Nitrobacteraceae.
AGCGGCUUGCGGUGCUGGAUGCCGGCAUUGUUGACGACGAUGUCGACCGCGAUGUUCUUCUUGUCGAAGUCGUUG